This 530-nucleotide ribosomal RNA is filed under the name Micromonospora maritima. Its description in RNAcentral is "bacterial SSU rRNA". It matches the Rfam family "Bacterial small subunit ribosomal RNA", at positions 31 to 579 of the family's 1533-position model. The record is from RNAcentral. Lineage: Bacteria; Bacillati; Actinomycetota; Actinomycetes; Micromonosporales; Micromonosporaceae.
GAACGCUGGCGGCGUGCUUAACACAUGCAAGUCGAGCGGAAAGGCCCUUCGGGGUACUCGAGCGGCGAACGGGUGAGUAACACGUGAGCAACCUGCCCUAGGCUUUGGGAUAACCCCGGGAAACCGGGGCUAAUACCGAAUAGGACCACCGGCCGCAUGGUUGGUGGUGGAAAGUUUUUCGGCCUGGGAUGGGCUCGCGGCCUAUCAGCUUGUUGGUGGGGUGAUGGCCUACCAAGGCGACGACGGGUAGCCGGCCUGAGAGGGCGACCGGCCACACUGGGACUGAGACACGGCCCAGACUCCUACGGGAGGCAGCAGUGGGGAAUAUUGCACAAUGGGCGGAAGCCUGAUGCAGCGACGCCGCGUGAGGGAUGACGGCCUUCGGGUUGUAAACCUCUUUCAGCAGGGACGAAGCGUAAGUGACGGUACCUGCAGAAGAAGCGCCGGCCAACUACGUGCCAGCAGCCGCGGUAAGACGUAGGGCGCGAGCGUUGUCCGGAUUUAUUGGGCGUAAAGAGCUCGUAGGCGGC